RNAcentral lists this transfer RNA (90 nucleotides) under Herpetosiphonaceae bacterium. RNAcentral describes it as "tRNA-Ser". It matches the Rfam family "tRNA". Rfam says of the family: Transfer RNA (tRNA) molecules are approximately 80 nucleotides in length. Their secondary structure includes four short double-helical elements and three loops (D, anti-codon, and T loops). The record is from RNAcentral. RNAcentral also lists the same sequence under 2 other names. Lineage: Bacteria; Bacillati; Chloroflexota; Chloroflexia; Herpetosiphonales; Herpetosiphonaceae.
GGAGGGGUCGCAUAGUUGGUCUAGUGCGGUCGUCUCGAAAAUGACUAGGUGUAAAAAGCCUCGUGGGUUCGAAUCCCACCCCCUCCGCCA